Molecule: ribosomal RNA, 392 nt
Filed under: uncultured bacterium
Lineage: Bacteria
Description: partial 16S ribosomal RNA
Rfam family: Bacterial small subunit ribosomal RNA
Source: RNAcentral
AUACGUAGGGGGCGAGCGUUGUCCGGAUUUAUUGGGCGUAAAGGGUGCGUAGGCGGCCUUGUAAGUCAGAUGUGAAAGAUCAUGGCUUAACUGUGGUAAGCAUUUGAAACUGCAGGGCUUGAGUACAGGAGAGGAGAGUGGAAUUCCUAGUGUAGCGGUGAAAUGCGUAGAUAUUAGGAGGAAUACCAGUGGCGAAGGCGACUCUCUGGACUGAUACUGACGCUGAGGCACGAAAGCGUGGGGAGCAAACAGGAUUAGAUACCCUGGUAGUCCACGCUAUAAACGAUGAGUGCUAGGUGUCGGGGGUCAAACCUCGGUGCCGCAGUUAACACAUUAAGCACUCCGCCUGGGGAGUACGUUCGCAAGAAUGAAACUCAAAGGAAUUGACGGGG